GCCGGGAUGGCGGAAUUGGUAGACGCGCCGGACUCAAAAUCCGGUGCUGGUAACAGUGUGAGGGUUCGAGUCCCUCUCCCGGCACCA
RNAcentral lists this transfer RNA (87 nucleotides) under Candidatus Nitrotoga sp. BS. RNAcentral's name for it is "tRNA-Leu". It matches the Rfam family "tRNA". Rfam says of the family: Transfer RNA (tRNA) molecules are approximately 80 nucleotides in length. Their secondary structure includes four short double-helical elements and three loops (D, anti-codon, and T loops). Further hydrogen bonds mediate the characteristic L-shaped molecular structure. tRNAs have two regions of fundamental functional importance: the anti-codon, which is responsible for specific mRNA codon recognition, and the 3' end, to which the tRNAs corresponding amino acid is attached (by aminoacyl-tRNA synthetases). tRNAs cope with the degeneracy of the genetic code in two manners: having more than one tRNA (with a specific anti-codon) for a particular amino acid; and 'wobble' base-pairing, i.e. permitting non-standard base-pairing at the 3rd anti-codon position. The record is from RNAcentral. Lineage: Bacteria; Pseudomonadati; Pseudomonadota; Betaproteobacteria; Nitrosomonadales; Gallionellaceae. RNAcentral also lists the same sequence under 1 other name.